Molecule: ribosomal RNA, 253 nt
Filed under: uncultured Lachnospiraceae bacterium
Lineage: Bacteria; Bacillati; Bacillota; Clostridia; Lachnospirales; Lachnospiraceae
Description: partial 16S ribosomal RNA
Rfam family: Bacterial small subunit ribosomal RNA
Source: RNAcentral
UACGUAGGGAGCAAGCGUUAUCCGGAUUUACUGGGUGUAAAGGGAGCGCAGGCGGUCUGGCAAGUCUGAUGUGAAAUACCGGGGCUCAACUCCGGGACUGCAUUGGAAACUGUCAGACUGGAGUGUCGGAGAGGUAAUCGGAAUUCCUAGUGUAGCGGUGAAAUGCGUAGAUAUUAGGAAGAACACCAGUGGCGAAGGCGGAUUACUGGACGACAACUGACGGUGAGGCGCGAAAGUGUGGGUAUCAAACAGG